This 301-nucleotide ribosomal RNA is filed under the name uncultured bacterium. RNAcentral describes it as "partial 16S ribosomal RNA". It matches the Rfam family "Bacterial small subunit ribosomal RNA", at positions 509 to 807 of the family's 1533-position model. The record is from RNAcentral.
CAGCCGCCGCGGUAAUACGAAGGGUGCAAGCGUUACUCGGAAUUACUGGGCGUAAAGCGUGCGUAGGUGGUUGUUUAAGUCUGCUGUGAAAGCCCUGGGCUCAACCUGGGAAUUGCAGUGGAUACUGGGCGACUAGAGUAAGGUAGAGGAUAGUGGAAUUUCCGGUGUAGCAGUGAAAUGCGUAGAGAUCGGAAGGAACAUCUGUGGCGAAGGCGACUAUCUGGGCCAUUACUGACACUGAGGCACGAAAGCGUGGGGAGCAAACAGGAUUAGAUACCCCCGUAGUCCCUGUCUCUUAUAC